AGUGAACGCUGGCGGUAGGCCUAACACAUGCAAGUCGAACGGCAGCACAGUAAGAGCUUGCUCUUACGGGUGGCGAGUGGCGGACGGGUGAGGAAUACAUCGGAAUCUACUUUUUCGUGGGGGAUAACGUAGGGAAACUUACGCUAAUACCGCAUACGACCUACGGGUGAAAGCAGGGGAUCUUCGGACCUUGCGCGAUUGAAUUAGCCGAUGUCGGAUUAGCUAGUUGGCGGGGUAAAGGCCCACCAAGGCGACGAUCCGUAGCUGGUCUGAGAGGAUGAUCGGCCACACUGGAACUGAGACACGGUCCAGACUCCUACGGGAGGCAGCAGUAGGGAAUAUUGGGCAAUGGGCGCAAGCCUGAUCCAGCCAUACCGCGUGGGUGAAGAAGGCCUUCGGGUUGUAAAGCCCUUUUGUUGGGAAAGAAAAGCAGCAGGUUAAUACCCCGCUGUUCUGACGGUACCCAAAGAAUAAGCACCGGCUAACUUCGUG
This 492-nucleotide ribosomal RNA is filed under the name uncultured bacterium. RNAcentral's name for it is "partial 16S ribosomal RNA". It matches the Rfam family "Bacterial small subunit ribosomal RNA", at positions 29 to 507 of the family's 1533-position model. The record is from RNAcentral.